GGAAGUGCGCGCGGGACUGGUGCCCGCCCCCGUCUUCAAAACGGGUGGGCUCGUCCUUCACGGGGCGGCCGGUGGGUUCGAUUCCCAUGCGCUUCCG
RNAcentral lists this transfer RNA (97 nucleotides) under Deltaproteobacteria bacterium. Its description in RNAcentral is "tRNA-Sec". It matches the Rfam family "Selenocysteine transfer RNA". The record is from RNAcentral. Lineage: Bacteria; Pseudomonadati; Myxococcota; Myxococcia.